This 465-nucleotide ribosomal RNA is filed under the name uncultured bacterium. Its description in RNAcentral is "partial 16S ribosomal RNA". It matches the Rfam family "Bacterial small subunit ribosomal RNA", at positions 338 to 795 of the family's 1533-position model. The record is from RNAcentral.
CCUACGGGAGGCAGCAGUGGGGAAUGUUGCGCAAUGCUCGUAAGAGUGACGCAGCGACGCCGCGUGAAUGACGAAGGCCUUCGGGUCGUAAAGUUCUUUCGACAGGGAAGAAAAUGCCUAUAAGUAACUGUGUAUGUAUUGACGGUACCUGUAGAAGCAGCCCCGGCUAACGCCGUGCCAGCAGCCGCGGUAAGACGGAGGGGGCGAGCGUUGGUCGGAUGGACUGGGCGUAAAGAGCACGUAGGCGGUGUUGUAAGGCAUUAGUCAAAGACUAGAGCUCAACUUUAGUACGGCUAGUGAUACUCUAAUCCUAGAGUAUCCGAGAGGAUUGCAGAAUUCCUGGUGUAGCGGUGAAAUGCGUAGAUAUCAGGCGGAAUACCGUUCGCGAAGGCGGCAAUCUGGCUGGCAACUGACGCUGAGGUGCGAAAGCGUGGGUAGCAAACAGGAUUAGAUACCCCAGUAGUC